This 254-nucleotide ribosomal RNA is filed under the name uncultured bacterium. Its description in RNAcentral is "partial 16S ribosomal RNA". It matches the Rfam family "Bacterial small subunit ribosomal RNA", at positions 524 to 776 of the family's 1533-position model. The record is from RNAcentral.
UACGUAGGGUGCGAGCGUUGUCCGGAAUUACUGGGCGUAAAGAGCUCGUAGGCGGUUUGUCGCGUCGUCCGUGAAAACUUGGGGCUCAACCCCAAGCUUGCGGGCGAUACGGGCAGACUUGAGUACUGCAGGGGAGACUGGAAUUCCUGGUGUAGCGGUGAAAUGCGUUGAUAUCGUUCGGAACACCGAAAGCGAAGGCAGAGCACUGGGUGCCACCUGACACUGCUAGGACGAAAGCGUGGGGAGCGAAUGGG